Molecule: ribosomal RNA, 30 nt
Filed under: Saksenaea vasiformis
Lineage: Eukaryota; Fungi; Mucoromycota; Mucoromycetes; Mucorales; Saksenaeaceae
Description: partial 18S ribosomal RNA
Source: RNAcentral
AGUCUCUUUGGUACCGAAAAGAAUUUUUUU